This 458-nucleotide ribosomal RNA is filed under the name uncultured bacterium. RNAcentral's name for it is "partial 16S ribosomal RNA". It matches the Rfam family "Bacterial small subunit ribosomal RNA", at positions 338 to 795 of the family's 1533-position model. The record is from RNAcentral.
CCUACGGGGGGCUGCAGUGGGGAAUAUUGGGCAAUGGACGCAAGUCUGACCCAGCAACGCCGCGUGAAGGAAGAAGGCUUUCGGGUUGUAAACUUCUUUUGUCAGGGAGCAAGGAGCGCCACGAGUGGUGCGGCGAGAGUACCUGAAGAAAAAGCAUCGGCUAACUCCGUGCCAGCAGCCGCGGUAAUACGGAGGAUGCGAGCGUUAUCCGGAUUUAUUGGGUUUAAAGGGUGCGCAGGCGGCGAGUUAAGUCAGCGGUAAAAUUUCGGGGCUCAACCCCGACAAGCCGUUGAAACUGGCUUGCUAGAGUGGGCGAGAAGUAUGCGGAAUGCGUGGUGUAGCGGUGAAAUGCAUAGAUAUCACGCAGAACUCCGAUUGCGAAGGCAGCAUACCGGCGCCCAACUGACGCUCAGGCACGAAAGCGUGGGUAUCGAACAGGAUUAGAUACCCCAGUAGUC